This 309-nucleotide ribosomal RNA is filed under the name uncultured eukaryote. RNAcentral's name for it is "partial 18S ribosomal RNA". It matches the Rfam family "Eukaryotic small subunit ribosomal RNA", at positions 1470 to 1796 of the family's 1831-position model. The record is from RNAcentral.
CCCUUAGAUGUCCUGGGCUGCACGCGCGCUACACUGGCACAUUCAACAAGUGUACCUGUUCUGAAAGGAUUGGGUAAUCUCUUGAAAGUGUGCCGUGCUAGGGAUAGAUUAUUGCAAUUAUUAAUCUUAAACGAGGAAUUCCUAGUAGGUGCAAGUCAUCAGCUUGCGCUGAUUACGUCCCUGCCUAUUGUACACACCGCCCGUCGCUCCUACCGAUUGGCUGAUCCGGUGAGCACUGUGGACUGCAUGCUUGUAGCAUGUGGGAAAUCUUGCGAACCUUAUCAGCUAGAGGAAGGAGAAGUCGUANCA